GAAAGUAAACAAGGGCGCAUGGCGGAUGCCUUGGCUCUCGGAGGCGAUGAAGGACGUGAUAAGCUGCGAUAAGCUCCGGGGAGGUGCAAAUAACCUUUGAUCCGGGGAUUUCCGAAUGGGACAACCCGGCGUGUUGAAGACACGCCACCUGAUCAUUUCAGGAGCUAACGCAGGGAACUGAAACAUCUUAGUACCUGCAGGAAAAGAAAAUAACAAUGAUUCCCCCAGUAGUGGCGAGCGAACGGGGAAUAGCCCAAACCGUUCAUGUUACGGCAUGAUCGGGGUUGUAGGACUACGUCGUUGCAUGAAGACAUCGGAGAAGAACUUUCUGGAAAGAAAGACCAUAGAGCAUGACAGUUGCGUAUUCGUAUGUUGUCGAAGCAUAGUAGUAUCCUGAGUAGCGCGGAGCACGAGGAAUUCUGCGUGAAUCUGCCGGGACCAUCCGGUAAGGCUAAAUACUCCCGAGAGACCGAUAGCGAACCAGUACCGUGAGGGAAAGGUGAAAAGCACUUCGAACAGAAGAGUGAAAUAGUUCCUGAAACCGUGCGCCUACAAGCGGUCGGAGCUCAGCAAUGAGUGACGGCGUGCCUUUUGCAUAAUGAACCUACGAGUUGCCUUUGCCGGCAAGGUUAAGUGUGACGACACACGUAUCCGAAGCGAAAGCGAGUCUGAAUAGGGCGUAUAGUCGGCAGUGGCAGACGCGAAACCAAGUGAUCUACCCUUGGCCAGGUUGAAGGCUGGGUAACACCAGCUGGAGGACCGCACCAAUAAGCGUUGAAAAGCUUCUGGAUGAGCUGAGGGUAGGGGUGAAAGGCUAAUCAAACUUGGAGAUAGCUCGUACUCCCCGAAAUGCAUUUAGGUGCAGCCUUGUGGGUUACUGAUGUGAGGUAGAGCGACUGAUAAGAUGCGAGGGCUUCACCGCCUAUCAAGUCUUGACAAACUCCGAAUGCGCAUCAGUUUUACCUCAGGAGUGAGGGCAUGGGUGCUAAGGUCCGUGCCCGAGAGGAGAAGAAUCCGGACCACCUGCUAAGGUCCCGAAAUGACAGCUAAGUUAAACUAACGAAGUCUGACUGCUAAGACAGCUAGGAUGUUGGCUUGGAAGCAGCCAUUCAUUUAAAGAGUGCGUAACAGCUCACUAGUCGAGGAGUCUGGCGUGGAUAAUAAUCGGGUAUUAAGUUGUCUACCGAAGCAGUGGGAUCAUUGAAAUGAUCGGUAGGGGAGCAUUCCAGUCAGCGUCGAAGGCGUACCGCGAGGUAUUCUGGAGCGUCUGGAAAAGCAAAUGUAGGUAUAAGUAACGAUAAAGGGGGCGGGAAACCCCCUCGCCGAAAGACUAAGGUUUCCUGAUCAACGCUAAUCGGAUCAGGGUAAGUCGGGUCCUAAGGCUCAGCCGAAGGGCGAUGCCGAUGGCAGAAACGGUUAAUAUUCCGUUACUACCUCCAGGAGUGAUGUGGAGACGCAGUAGUGACAAUGCCGCCAUCUGACGGAAUAGAUGGUUGAAGGGUGUAGAUGUUGAUCUUGGCAGGCAAAUCCACCAUGAGAAUCGAACCUGAUAGUAUGCCGCGUCCCUCGGGACAAGGCAAUAGUGCAUGUAAUCAUGCUGCCAAGAAAAUCCGCUAAACUAAAUCCUGUAGGUACCCGUACCGUAAACGGACACACGUAGUCGGGAUGAAUAUUCUAAGGCGCUUGAGUGAUUCACGGUUAAGGAACUAGGCAAACUGACCCUGUAACUUCGGGAUAAAGGGUCCCUACCCGGUGACGGGAGGGCGCAGAGAAUAGGUCCAGGCAACUGUUUAACAAAAACACAGGGCUGUGCUAAAUCGAAAGAUCCUGUAUACAGCCUGACACCUGCCCGGUGCUGGAAGGUUAAGAGGAGACGUCAUCGUUGAGAGAAGCGUUGAAUUGAAGCCCCAGUAAACGGCGGCCGUAACUAUAACGGUCCUAAGGUAGCGAAAUUCCUUGUCGGGUAAGUUCCGACCUG
This 1978-nucleotide ribosomal RNA is filed under the name human gut metagenome. RNAcentral's name for it is "bacterial LSU rRNA". It matches the Rfam family "Bacterial large subunit ribosomal RNA", at positions 1 to 1990 of the family's 2925-position model. The record is from RNAcentral.